Molecule: ribosomal RNA, 548 nt
Filed under: uncultured bacterium
Lineage: Bacteria
Description: bacterial SSU rRNA
Rfam family: Bacterial small subunit ribosomal RNA
Source: RNAcentral
CCGGUACUCGCGAAUGCUCUAGAUUAGAGUUGAUCAUGGCUCAGAUUGAACGCUGGCGGCAAGGCCUAACACAUGCAAGUCGAACGGUAACAGGAAGCAGCUUGCUGCUUUGCUGACGAGUGGCGGACGGGUGAGUAAUGUCUGGGAAACUGCCUGAUGGAGGGGGAUAACUACUGGAAACGGUAGCUAAUACCGCAUAACGUCGCAAGACCAAAGAGGGGGACCUUCGGGCCUCUUGCCAUCGGAUGUGCCCAGAUGGGAUUAGCUAGUAGGUGGGGUAACGGCUCACCUAGGCGACGAUCCCUAGCUGGUCUGAGAGGAUGACCAGCCACACUGGAACUGAGACACGGUCCAGGCUCCUACGGGAGGCAGCAGUGGGGAAUAUUGCACAAUGGGCGCAAGCCUGAUGCAGCCAUGCCGCGUGUAUGAAGAAGGCCUUCGGGUUGUAAAGUACUUUCAGCGGGGAGGAAGGCGAUAAGGUUAAUAACCUUGUCGAUUGACGUUACCCGCAGAAGAAGCACCGGCUAACUCCGUGCCAGCAGCCGCGG